This is a ribosomal RNA of Chlorocebus sabaeus (green monkey), 120 nucleotides long. NCBI's taxonomy places the organism in Eukaryota, Metazoa, Chordata, Mammalia, Primates, Cercopithecidae. The record is from Ensembl.
UUUUUUUUUCCUACCAUUUUGAAUGCACCUGCUCUGAUCGAGUCUUGGAAGCUAAGCAGAGUCAAGCCUCGUUAGUAUUUGGAUGGGAGACAACUUGGGAAAAUUUGGGUGAUGUAGGUA